ACGCGAAUUUUUAGGACGAUUUUUCCUUUUUUCUGUAUUUUUCUGUUAAAGCAAUGAUUUUUUCAACAUUUUCAACAUUUAAUAAUUAAAGUGGCUAUGUUUUUAACAUAAUUCGAACAAAAUUAUGGUUUUCGUUCGCUCUAUUCUCCAAAAUUUUCAUUUUUUUAUAUGGAACAUUUUUAUUU
This is a small nucleolar RNA of Caenorhabditis elegans, 185 nucleotides long. NCBI's taxonomy places the organism in Eukaryota, Metazoa, Nematoda, Chromadorea, Rhabditida, Rhabditidae. The record is from Ensembl.